This is a long non-coding RNA of Cygnus atratus (black swan), 571 nucleotides long. RefSeq lists it as uncharacterized. Lineage: Eukaryota; Metazoa; Chordata; Aves; Anseriformes; Anatidae. The transcript is spliced from 3 exons. The record is from RefSeq and is a predicted model, not a curated record.
ACGUGCACAUUUCUAUUUCUAUGUCUGCAAGAGAGAUGCUGAGGGGAAGGGGCUGCAAGGGAGUUGUGAGCUUGUGAGAAGCCUUCGGCUGAUUCCUGUGGGAGCUGUCACAGCAGGUUGAUGAGAAGGGCCUGUAGGAAGAGAAUGGGUUCUGCUCAGCUUCUGCCAACCAAAUUCAGCCGAAAAUGGAAUGCUUUAAGGAAAAAAAAAACACAGAGCUGUCAGAGACAACUCACGCCAUCUGGUGACCUUAAUUUCAAACAGGGAACAGGGUCAUUUAAACUGGAGCUAAAGGAAGAUGCGAAGCUAGAUCUGAUGGAAAUACGCUUGUCUACAUUUCAUCUUUCAACUUCAGAUGGAAACCAAAUUCUCGACAAGCUAUAUAUCCUUGUUAAUCUUAGUGGCGUGAUCUGAAUAGGGGAAUUGGUUUUGCUAAAUUCUGAAAUUAGUCAUUUCUUGUUAUAUUGUUCUUUUUCUCGUCCAUUUUAAUUGGAUUAAUUGGAUUGUUCUCUUUCUGCCCUGAUUCAUGGAGGUGUGCUAUUAAAUAGCUGCUGCUUUCUAUUGGACCAGU